UACGGAAGGUGCGAGCGUUAAUCGGAAUUACUGGGCGUAAAGCGAGCGUAGGCUGUUAAAUAAGUCGAAUGUGAAAUCCCCGGGCUCAACCUGGGAACUGCAUUCGAAACUAUUUGACUAGAGUAUGGGAGAGGAAAGUAGAAUUUCCGGUGUAGCGGUGAAAUGCGUAGAUAUCGGAAGGAAUACCAGUGGCGAAGGCGCUUUCUGGAACAAUACUGACGCUGAGGUUCGAAAGCGUGGGGAGCAAACA
RNAcentral lists this ribosomal RNA (250 nucleotides) under uncultured bacterium. Its description in RNAcentral is "partial 16S ribosomal RNA". It matches the Rfam family "Bacterial small subunit ribosomal RNA", at positions 524 to 774 of the family's 1533-position model. The record is from RNAcentral.